AUCUCUGAUCAGAUCAAGAAUUUAAAAUAGCUUAUAAAAUUUCUUUAUCUAGUGAUCAGAGAGUUCAUCCACAAUAGCAAUCACAUGUCGAACCACUUGUAAGGAUAAAUGAACCAAUACAUAAUCUAUUGAUUGAUGAAGCACCAAAAUUAAAACUCAAAACACUCCUUGAGCACCUCAAAUAUAUGUAUCUAGGUCUAUCAAAAACCCUACCCAUAAUCAUCGCAUC
RNAcentral lists this long non-coding RNA (229 nucleotides) under Elaeis guineensis (African oil palm). RNAcentral's name for it is "long non-coding RNA (EGUI_LNC052236)". Lineage: Eukaryota; Viridiplantae; Streptophyta; Magnoliopsida; Arecales; Arecaceae. The record is from RNAcentral.